RNAcentral lists this ribosomal RNA (691 nucleotides) under Flavobacterium sp. S65.07.P.BNT.SE.H.Fin.D.M. Its description in RNAcentral is "bacterial SSU rRNA". It matches the Rfam family "Bacterial small subunit ribosomal RNA", at positions 60 to 752 of the family's 1533-position model. Lineage: Bacteria; Pseudomonadati; Bacteroidota; Flavobacteriia; Flavobacteriales; Flavobacteriaceae. RNAcentral also lists the same sequence under 2 other names. The record is from RNAcentral.
AGUCGAGGGGUAUGCUUCUUCGGAAGCAGAGACCGGCGCACGGGUGCGUAACGCGUAUGCAAUCUACCUUUUACAGAGGGAUAGCCCAGAGAAAUUUGGAUUAAUACCUCAUAGUAUAGCUGAAUCGCAUGAUUCUACUAUUAAAGUCACAACGGUAAAAGAUGAGCAUGCGUCCCAUUAGCUAGUUGGUAAGGUAACGGCUUACCAAGGCUACGAUGGGUAGGGGUCCUGAGAGGGAGAUCCCCCACACUGGUACUGAGACACGGACCAGACUCCUACGGGAGGCAGCAGUGAGGAAUAUUGGACAAUGGGCGCAAGCCUGAUCCAGCCAUGCCGCGUGCAGGAUGACGGUCCUAUGGAUUGUAAACUGCUUUUAUACGAGAAGAAACACUGCUUCGUGAAGCAGCUUGACGGUAUCGUAAGAAUAAGGAUCGGCUAACUCCGUGCCAGCAGCCGCGGUAAUACGGAGGAUCCAAGCGUUAUCCGGAAUCAUUGGGUUUAAAGGGUCCGUAGGCGGUUUAAUAAGUCAGUGGUGAAAGCCCAUCGCUCAACGGUGGAACGGCCAUUGAUACUGUUAAACUUGAAUUAUUAGGAAGUAACUAGAAUAUGUAGUGUAGCGGUGAAAUGCUUAGAGAUUACAUGGAAUACCAAUUGCGAAGGCAGGUUACUACUAAUGGAUUGACGCUGAUGG